AAAACGUAUUUGGCAGUUUCCAUGAUUUAACCCAAGAGAUAUUACCAAAUAAAGAAGAACAAAAAAAUCUUGCUGCAGGUAAGGACGCAGAACAAAGAGCAUUAUAAUGCGUGCGCGAGCCCUCCUGAUGAAGAAAAUGACGUAAUGCGGACGUUGCACGGACGGCACGCGCUGGGCAGAAAUUCAGCUCAACAUCGGUCUCAGUGCAGUGCCAGGCGAAAGCAGGCUUACACCGGGAGAGAGACUGAUAGGCAUUGAAUUAACACAAAUGCUUACACAUAUGUAGCCUAUAGUUAAAAUAGGAUAAGCAUUACGCUACAUAGACCGAGACCGCUGCUCAGGAUCCUGCGUCAGAACAGGCAAGAAAAAGCUUUUCCUUUCACUUUCGAUUUAGAAAGAAUGCUGAUGUUUGUAAUGGCCUAGUUUCGGCUAUUGAUUCUUGUCCAGGGUUUGUUCACAGCACGCGACAGUGCAGCAGGUGAAAAUGGGGACAACAGGGUCACGUCCACCACCUGUAAGAUCUCCAUCUGAGGAGAGGAAGAGAGAACAAGAAAGAAGAGAGAAAGAAAUGGGUGCCCUUCAAGUACGUCAUGAAUUGCCAGCGGCAUCAGGAGCAGCAGGAGCAGAAGACCGACCGGACAGAAGCUCAGACCAAUCUUCAAAGUUGAAGACUGAAGCACUGAGACCUGUGCAACGUAACAGCAAAGAAUUAAAUCCCCCUAGCACGUUGUCACACAGACCUAUGCAAUGCAUGAGUUGGGCAAAUAUCUGCAUGAGAUCCGUUGUUUGCUACUAAAUCUAAAGUGCCUGAAAGUGAGGCCAAACCUCCAGCUACUCCCUGAACAGACCACGAUUGCACUGAAGCUAGUUGAAGGAUUUUCCAGGUUUCCAGUGAAGGUUGAGUACAA
Molecule: long non-coding RNA, 908 nt
Organism: Sinocyclocheilus anshuiensis
Lineage: Eukaryota; Metazoa; Chordata; Actinopteri; Cypriniformes; Cyprinidae
Source: Ensembl